GGCACUUGGGGGUCAGAGGCACUUGGGGGUCAGUGACAUUGGGGACAGUGGCACUUGGGGGACAGUGGCACUUGAGGGUCAGUGACAUUUGGGGAGAGUGGCACUUGGAGGUCAGUGACAUUUGGGGUCAGUGGCACUUGGGGGUCGGUGACAUUUGGGGUCAGUGACAUUUGGGGUCAGUGGCACUUGGGGGUCAGUGACAUUUGGGGAGAGUGGCACUUGGGGGUCCGUGGCACUUGGGGGUCAGUGGCACUUGGGGGUCAGGUGGUGACACCUCCACUCUGGGUGUCCCCAACAGUCGGUGGCACUGUCCCUUGUGUCCCCUCUGUCCCCAGUGUCCCCACUCCCAGUGUCACCUCCCAUGUUGUCCCUUCCUACAGUGUCACCUCCACUCCCGGUGUCCCCAGCAGUCGGUGGCACUGUCCCAGGUGUCCCCUCUGUCGCCAGUGUCCCCACUCCCGGUGUCACCUCCACUCCGGGUGUCCCCAACAGUCGGUGCCACUGUCCCUUGUGUCCCCUCUGUCCCCAGUGUCCCCACUCCCAGUGUCACCUCCACUCCCGGUGUCCCCAACAGUCGGUGGCACUGUCCCUUGUGUCCCCUCUGCCCCGAAUGUCCCCACUCCCGGUGUCCCCUCCACUCCCGGUGUCCCCAACAGUCGGUGGCACUGUCCCUGCUGUCCCCUCCACUCCCAGUGUCCCCUCCCAGGGUGUCCCCUCCCAUGGUGUCCCUUCUCCCAGUGUCCCCUCCACUCUCGGUGUCCCCAACAGUCAGUGCCACUGUUCCUUGUGUCCCCUGUCCCCAUUGUCCCCUCUCCCGGUGUCCCCUCCCGUUGUGUCCCAACAGUCAGAUUCCCCUGCACUCCCUGAGUCCUCCCCACUCCGUGUCCCCCCCCAGCUCCGUGGGGUUCUGUGCUGUGGGGCUGCGGGUGUUGGUGCUGCGGGUGUUGUUGCUGCAGGUGUUGUUGCUCCCAUGGGUGUUGUUGCUGCGGGUGUUGUUGCUCCCAUGGGUGUUGUUGCUGUGGGUGUUGUUGAUCCCAUGGGUGUUGUUGCUGCGGGUGUUAAUGCUGCGGGUGUUGUUGCUCCCAUGGGUGUUGUUGCUGCGGGUGUUGGUGCUGCGGGUGCUGUUAAUGCUGCAGCUGUUGUCUCUGCGGGUGUUGGUGCUGCAGGUGUCAGUGCUGCGGGUGUUGUUGAUCCCAUGGGUGUUGGUGCUGUGGGUGUUGCUGAUCCCAUGGGUGUUGGUGCUGCGGGUGUUGGUGCUGCGGGUGUUGUUGAUCCCAUGGGUGUCGGUGCUGCGGGUGUUGGUGCUGCGGGUGUUGCUGAUCC
This 1323-nucleotide long non-coding RNA is filed under the name Numida meleagris (helmeted guineafowl). Its description in RNAcentral is "lncRNA (ENSNMEG00000002786.1)". The record is from RNAcentral. Lineage: Eukaryota; Metazoa; Chordata; Aves; Galliformes; Numididae.